UCCACGGAACUGGUGCACGAUUCUGGACGCUGCCGCUUUGCCCGAAGAAUUUUCGAAGGCCAAAGACAAACCCCCCACGUGGUGGCGGUGGUCAUCUCGGGGGAUACGGCGGCGGCUCCUCAUAGAAAUAUUCCCAUUACUCUCAACAUCGUCGCGCGAAACCCACUCUCCCUUAGAAUUAUUGCUAAUCUGGUCAUUCCCAUUAGCCGCAUCAUCAACCAUCGACCAUACAUCGUCCUCGCCUAGCUCCGACGAGUCGUUGACGGUGGUGUCUUGGCCAUUACUGUAAGCAAAG
RNAcentral lists this unclassified non-coding RNA (295 nucleotides) under Hevea brasiliensis (rubber tree). Lineage: Eukaryota; Viridiplantae; Streptophyta; Magnoliopsida; Malpighiales; Euphorbiaceae. The record is from RNAcentral.